CGCCGAAAGACCAAGGUUUCCUGCGCAACGUUAAUCGACGCAGGGUUAGUCGGUCCCUAAGGCGAGGCUGAAAAGCGUAGUCGAUGGAAAACAGGUUAAUAUUCCUGUACUUCUGGUUAUUGCGAUGGAGGGACGGAGAAGGCUAGGCCAGCCUGGCGUUGGUUGUCCAGGUUUAAGGUGGUAGGCUGAGAUCUUAGGUAAAUCCGGGAUCUUAAGGCCGAGAGCUGAUGACGAGUGUUCUUUUAGAACAUGAAGUGGUUGAUGCCAUG
This 269-nucleotide ribosomal RNA is filed under the name Pseudomonas sp. Its description in RNAcentral is "partial 23S ribosomal RNA". It matches the Rfam family "Bacterial large subunit ribosomal RNA", at positions 1335 to 1604 of the family's 2925-position model. The record is from RNAcentral. Lineage: Bacteria; Pseudomonadati; Pseudomonadota; Gammaproteobacteria; Pseudomonadales; Pseudomonadaceae.